AUGCUCACUUCAGCAGCACAUAGACUAAAAUUGGAAGGAUUCAGAGAUUAGCAUGGCUUCUCUGUAAGGAUGACACACAAGUUCAGGAAGCAUUCCAUAUUUUC
Canis lupus familiaris (dog) is the source of this 104-nucleotide non-coding RNA. Lineage: Eukaryota; Metazoa; Chordata; Mammalia; Carnivora; Canidae. The record is from Rfam.